GGGAGGUAGUGACAAUAAAUAACAAUACGGGGUUCUUUAGGAUCUCGUAAUUGGAAUGAGUACAAUUUAAAUCUCUUAACGAGGAACAAUUGGAGGGCAAGUCUGGUGCCAGCAGCCGCGGUAAUUCCAGCUCCAAUAGCGUAUAUUAAAGUUGUUGCAGUUAAAAAGCUCGUAGUUGAAUUUCGGGGUUAGUAAGUUGGUCAUGCCUUCGGUAUGUACUGGCUUUACUGAUUCCUCCUUCUUGACGAACCGUGAUGUCAUUAAUUUGGUGUUGCGGGAAAUCAGGACUGUUACUUUGAAAAAUUAGAGUGUUUAAAGCAGGCUAACGCUUGAAUACAUUAGCAUGGAAUAAUGAAAUAGGACGUUAAUCCUAUUUUGUUGGUUUCUAGGAUCGACGUAAUGAUUAAUAGGGAUAGUUGGG
This 421-nucleotide ribosomal RNA is filed under the name uncultured Glomeraceae. RNAcentral's name for it is "SSU rRNA". It matches the Rfam family "Eukaryotic small subunit ribosomal RNA", at positions 459 to 886 of the family's 1831-position model. The record is from RNAcentral. Lineage: Eukaryota; Fungi; Glomeromycota; Glomeromycetes; Glomerales; Glomeraceae.